This 66-nucleotide transfer RNA is filed under the name human gut metagenome. It matches the Rfam family "tRNA", at positions 5 to 66 of the family's 71-position model. Rfam says of the family: Transfer RNA (tRNA) molecules are approximately 80 nucleotides in length. Their secondary structure includes four short double-helical elements and three loops (D, anti-codon, and T loops). Further hydrogen bonds mediate the characteristic L-shaped molecular structure. tRNAs have two regions of fundamental functional importance: the anti-codon, which is responsible for specific mRNA codon recognition, and the 3' end, to which the tRNAs corresponding amino acid is attached (by aminoacyl-tRNA synthetases). tRNAs cope with the degeneracy of the genetic code in two manners: having more than one tRNA (with a specific anti-codon) for a particular amino acid; and 'wobble' base-pairing, i.e. permitting non-standard base-pairing at the 3rd anti-codon position. The record is from RNAcentral. RNAcentral also lists the same sequence under 1 other name.
GCGUGGCGCAACGGUAGCGCAGCGGUUUUGUAAACCGAGGGUUGCGGGUUCGAUUCCUGCCGCUGG